CUUUAAACUGAAGAACUUGAUUGGCUUGUAUACAUUGGUUUCUUUGUCGUAUAGUUCAAUUGCUGUUGCUUGUAAAUGUUUUAUAAACCAGUACUGCGAAGUAGCGAAAUUUCGGGCCGUCUUUCACAACAAAUAACAUCACAAUAACUGCACAUCAUUUUCUCUUUAAUACAGAAUCAUUUUCCCCGUCCAUUGAGUUAUAAUUUCCAAAACGAACCAGUCGCUAUAACGUAAAAUAAGCGGGUAUUUGUGAACAAAAAUGCCGUUUGAUAUAACACGAGGUAACCAGCGCCAUCUUGUCUUCUCCAAACAUUACAGAUUUUCCCGCCAAAACCCGCCUCCAAAGUCCCGUAUGUACCUGACGUCACAAGUGUCAUCGACGGGGGGGGGGGACUACCAUAUUUUGUGGUAAAAAUUUUUUCAAAAAUACGCACUAAAUCCAAUUUUAAUCUCUUUACCUUCGCUACUUUUGCUUUCCACAUGCCAACAAAACUAGCUUCUUAGCACAUACAUAGCAUACGCUUUAUAAAAUACUUAAAAAAAUGGACCUAAACAAUAUUGGAGCGACAACAAUUUUGGAAAGUUUCUCCGGAAAUUUUUCUCACUUGAUGAAAAAACUUUUUCAUCUUUUUUUUUUCUUUUCUUUUUUUCACAUUAUUGUACGUUGGAACAGCACUAUAGUAUCAAUAGUAUCAAUAUAUAUAUAGCCUUAGUCUUAGAAUGUUAUAUAUUUUAUGGCAAUAUUUUAUAAAAAUUUCAUCGGCAAGUUGCUGAAUAUUUCAAAAGUAUCAACAAUUAACAAUGUUUCCAAGACCUUUCUGAAAAUCGGAAGCAAGUCAUUAAAAUGAUAUAAUUAUAUGUUCUAUUUCAUUUCAAAAAGCAAACAAAUGUUCCUCUUUUGUUACGAUAGCACUACCCUGGAUUCCAAAGCCUUUGACAGUAAAUAAUGAAUUGAAACAUUGCGAAAGCUCUGGUUCAACAG
This is a non-coding RNA of Paramuricea clavata, 982 nucleotides long. NCBI's taxonomy places the organism in Eukaryota, Metazoa, Cnidaria, Anthozoa, Malacalcyonacea, Plexauridae. The record is from the annotation of a GenBank genome assembly.